AUGUGGACCUGCCUUCGUCAGCGCUAUGAGCCCUCUGGUGAUGCCUUAUAUCUUUCUGUGGUUCGUCAGGAGCAUGCUCUUCAGCAGGGUGACUCUACUGUUGAUGACUUUUAUGCACAGAGUUCUGCUAUCUGGCGCCAGCUUGAUUCUCUCCGCAGUGCUGGUUGUCGUACUUGCCCCUGCUGCCAGGCUGUCCAGGCCGAUUUGGAGUUUCAUCGUGUCUAUGAGUUCCUGUCUCGGCUCCGUAAGGAGUUUGAGCCUCGGCGUGCUCAGUUGUUUGCUCGUGGCCGUAUUUCUCUCAUGGAGGCGCUUUCAGAGAUUUGUGCUGAGGAGACUCGCCUACGUGGUGCUGGUUUGCUGGAGGUUCCCUCUGUGCUCGCUACUCGGGUUUCUUCCACUCCACCUGCUGCACCGCCCCAUUCUCGCUCGAGUGCUCCGCCGCUCUUGCCCACUCCUUCUGGAGGCUCAGGUCGGCCCCGUUCACAUUGUGACUACUGCAACAAUGAUGGUCAUAUUGAGUCCCAGUGCUACACAAAGCGGAAACACCUGCGCAAGGCGCGAUCAUCCUCCUCAGGGACUUCGUCAUCUCCCUCGCCAGCU
Molecule: ribosomal RNA, 600 nt
Filed under: Triticum aestivum (bread wheat)
Lineage: Eukaryota; Viridiplantae; Streptophyta; Magnoliopsida; Poales; Poaceae
Description: partial small subunit ribosomal RNA
Source: RNAcentral